Molecule: ribosomal RNA, 497 nt
Filed under: uncultured bacterium
Lineage: Bacteria
Description: partial 16S ribosomal RNA
Rfam family: Bacterial small subunit ribosomal RNA
Source: RNAcentral
GAUGAACGCUGGCGGCGUGCCUAAUACAUGCAAGUCGAGCGAACGGACGAGAAGCUUGCUUUUCUGAUGUUAGCGGCGGACGGGUGAGUAACACGUGGAUAACCUACCUAUAAGACUGGGAUAACUUCGGGAAACCGGAGCUAAUACCGGAUAAUAUUUUGAACCGCAUGGUUCAAAAGUGAAAGACGGUCUUGCUGUCACUUAUAGGUGGAUCCGCGCUGCAUUAGCUAGUUGGUAAGGUAACGGCUUACCAAGGCAACGAUGCAUAGCCGACCUGAGAGGGUGAUCGGCCACACUGGAACUGAGACACGGUCCAGACUCCUACGGGAGGCAGCAGUAGGGAAUCUUCCGCAAUGGGCGAAAGCCUGACGGAGCAACGCCGCGUGAGUGAUGAAGGUCUUCGGAUCGUAAAACUCUGUUAUUAGGGAAGAACAUAUGUGUAAGUAACUGUGCACAUCUUGACGGUACCUAAUCAGAAAGCCACGGCUAACUACGUG